UACACUGGUAAUGGUACUCCAGGUUACCCACCUGGAUGGGGUUCAAGUCCCUGCGGUGUA
Small RNA from Sinocyclocheilus anshuiensis, 60 nucleotides. Lineage: Eukaryota; Metazoa; Chordata; Actinopteri; Cypriniformes; Cyprinidae. The record is from Ensembl.